CAGAUUAUUCCAUAACUUGUAAGGCGUUAGCCUAAUAUGAUCCACUAUUGCUAGCGAUCCUCAGGAACAACCAGGGGUGCAACUUUCAGUGGGGAUGGGGACAUGUCAGUGUGCUUUGGGACCGUACAGACCCCUCCGAGCGGUUGGGUAAGAUGUUUUUGAAGUUGGAAGUGUUUAUUCAACUGGGUUUAGGACUCAGCUCAGACGAAGCUUCUAAGUGAAGGCUGGCUGGACCGGCACGGGAGAGUUGAGCAUAGUUCAGUGCGUACGUGUUGCGCUCUUCCACUGAGUUCUAAAAAGGAAGCAGAACAGAAACUGGCUACUCUUUAGUUGACUGAUGUAGGUGGCAAAGUAACUGCUGUUUUAACAGGAAGAAAAAACUAAUCAGUAACAAACACAGGAACGAGACAGAGGAAAGGUAAACUAACGAUGCGAAGGAAAUGAACUAUGAAGUCAGUGACAGUUGUAAAUGUACAGUAUGUAGAUAUAACUGACGACAUAAUGAAAACAUUCUAGAAAUCAGAAAUCACCUCAGUAUGUAGAUAUAACUGACGACAUAAUGAAAACAUUCUAGAAAUCAGAAAUCACCUCAGUAUUUUUGGUGCUAUACUGUCAUUUUCACAUGGCAACAGAAGCCUAUAGCUUGGGUCUCCAGAUUUCAUCCCUGAAAGGUUAUAAGGCCACUAUUUCAUAAACAGCCCUGGGGUAAAAGGUGAUGUGUUAAUAUGCUUCGGUUUGCUGCCAUAUGACUGGUUUCACUUUUUUUUUGUCAUUUAGCAGACGCUCUUAUCCAGAGUGACUUACAGUAGUGAAUGCAUAUUGUCAUUUAUAUUUACAAUCCCCUUGUCCAAACGGAUUACUCAUGUACCAAGCUCCUAUCAAUAGCUCGUAUCCAUCUGUAAAUUACAGAGCAGGAGAAUGUUAUUUCUUUCAUAAAGAAAGUAGAUGCUGGUGCACUGGGAACCCGACAGGUUGGUCCACCUGAUUCAUCGCUUGUAAAGGUGGUGGAACUUAAGUCAAGGUAGACACGCCUCCACCACGCCUUCAUUAAUACAGUGUAUCUGUAGACACGCCUCCACCACGCCUUCAUUAAUACAGUGUAUCUGUAGACACGCCUCCACCACGCCCCAUUAAUACAGUGUAUCUGUAGACACGCCUCCAUUAAUACAGUGUAUCUGUAGACACGCCUCCAUUAAUACAGUGUAUCUGUAG
RNAcentral lists this long non-coding RNA (1212 nucleotides) under Salmo salar (Atlantic salmon). RNAcentral's name for it is "lncRNA (ENSSSAG00000098172.1)". The record is from RNAcentral. Lineage: Eukaryota; Metazoa; Chordata; Actinopteri; Salmoniformes; Salmonidae.